GCGAGGGUUGCCGAGCUUGGUCAAAGGCGCUGGCUUGAGGGGCCAGUUUCGUAGGAAUUCUUGGGUUCAAAUCCCAUCCCUCGCA
This 85-nucleotide transfer RNA is filed under the name Methanoregula sp. RNAcentral describes it as "tRNA-Leu". It matches the Rfam family "tRNA". From Rfam's summary of the family: Transfer RNA (tRNA) molecules are approximately 80 nucleotides in length. Their secondary structure includes four short double-helical elements and three loops (D, anti-codon, and T loops). Lineage: Archaea; Methanobacteriati; Methanobacteriota; Methanomicrobia; Methanomicrobiales; Methanoregulaceae. The record is from RNAcentral.